UUCCGGUUGAUCCCGCCGGACCCCACUGCUAUCGGGGUGGGACUAAGACAUGCAAGUUGAGCGCCUUGAGCUAUGGCGAGGCGCGGCGUACAGCUCAGUAACACGUAGUUAACCUACCCUCGGGACGGGGACAACCCCGGGAAACUGGGGCUAAUACCCGAUGGGUGAGGAGGCCUGGAAUGGUUUCUCACCGAAAGGAUAUUGAAACACGCUUUCAACCUUGCCCGAGGAUGGGACUGCGUCCGAUCAGGUUGUUGGUGGGGUAACGGCUCACCAAGCCUAUAACCGGUAUGGGCCGUGAGAGCGGGAGCCCGGAGAUGGAAUCUGAGACAAAAUUCUAGGCCCUACGGGGCGCAGCAGUCGCGAAAACUCCUCAAUACACGAAAGUGUGAUGGGGCUACCCCGAGUGCCGUCCGCUGAGGACGGCUUUUCUUCAGUGUAAUAAGCUGGAGGCAAUAAAGGGAGGGCAAGAAUGGUGUCAGCCGCCGCGGUAAAACCAACUCCCUGAGUGGUAGGGAUGAUUAUUGGGCUUAAAGCGUCCGUAGCUGGCCUGGUUGGUCCCGCGUUAAAUCCAGCGACCUAAUCGUUGGGCUGCGGGGGAUACGGUCAGGCUAGGAGGCGGGAGAGGUUAGCGGUACUCCAGGGGUAGGGGUGAAAUCCAGUAAUCCCUGGCGGACCACCAGUGGCGAAGGUUGCUAACCAGAACGCGCUUGACGGUGAGGGACGAAAGCUGGGGGAGCGAACCGGAUUAGAUACCCGAGUAGUCCCAGCUGUAAACGAUGCGGGCUAGCUGUUGGGAUGGCCACGAGCCAUUUCAGUGGCGCAGGGAAACCAUUAAGCCCGCCGCCUGGGAAGUACGAUCGCAAGAUUGAAACUUAAAGGAAUUGGCGGGGGAGCACCACAAGGCGUGAAGCUUGCGGUUUAAUUGGAUUCAACGCCGGGAAUC
This 946-nucleotide ribosomal RNA is filed under the name uncultured archaeon. RNAcentral describes it as "bacterial SSU rRNA". It matches the Rfam family "Archaeal small subunit ribosomal RNA", at positions 1 to 926 of the family's 1478-position model. The record is from RNAcentral.